CUACGGGCGGCUGCAGUUAGGAAUAAUCUACAAUGCGCGAAAGCGUGAUAGUUUGAGCCAGAGUGCUUUUCAUUUGAAAAGCUUUUGCCAAAUGUAAAAAGUUUGGCGAAUAAGGACUGGGUAAGACGAGUGCCAGCCGCCGCGGUAAUACUCGCGGUCCAAGUCGCAACCACAUUUAUUGGGUCUAAAACAUCCGUAGCUUGCUGAAUAAGUUUCUUGUGAAAUUUUGUAUCUUAAGUACAAAGCGCGCGAGAAGUACUAUUAAGCUAGAGACUGGAAGACGUAAGAAGUAUGUUCGAAGUAGCGGUAAAAUGUUUUAAGCUCGGACAGACUCACAAUAGCGAAGGCAUCUUACGAGGACAGUUCUGACAGUAAGGGAUGAAGGCUAGGGGCGCAAAACGGAUUAGAUACCCCCGUAGUC
Molecule: ribosomal RNA, 421 nt
Filed under: uncultured archaeon
Lineage: Archaea
Description: partial 16S ribosomal RNA
Rfam family: Archaeal small subunit ribosomal RNA
Source: RNAcentral